GAUGAACGCUAGCGGCAGGCCUAACACAUGCAAGUCGAGGGAGAAGCCUUUCGGGGCAGAAACCGGCGCACGGGUGCGUAACGCGUAUGCAACCUACCUUUCACAGGGGGAUAGCCCGAAGAAAUUUGGAUUAAUACCCCAUAAUAUUGUUGGAUGGCAUCAUUUGGCAAUUAAAACUGCGGUGGUGAAAGAUGGGCAUGCGUCCUAUUAGCUAGUUGGAGUGGUAACGGCACCCCAAGGCUACGAUAGGUAGGGGUCCUGAGAGGGAGAUCCCCCACACUGGUACUGAGACAGGGACCAGACUCCUACGGGGGGCAGCAGUGAGGAAUAUUGGUCAAUGGUCGGAAGACUGAACCAGCCAUGCCGCGUGCAGGAAGAAUGCCUUAUGGGUUGUAAACUGCUUUUAUAUGGGAAGAAUAAGGUGUACGUGUACAUUGAUGACG
RNAcentral lists this ribosomal RNA (443 nucleotides) under Capnocytophaga gingivalis. Its description in RNAcentral is "bacterial SSU rRNA". It matches the Rfam family "Bacterial small subunit ribosomal RNA", at positions 28 to 474 of the family's 1533-position model. The record is from RNAcentral. Lineage: Bacteria; Pseudomonadati; Bacteroidota; Flavobacteriia; Flavobacteriales; Flavobacteriaceae.